RNAcentral lists this ribosomal RNA (423 nucleotides) under uncultured bacterium. RNAcentral describes it as "partial 16S ribosomal RNA". The record is from RNAcentral.
ACUUUACAAUCCGAAAACCGUCUUCGUGCACACAGAAUUGCUGGAUCAGGGUUGCCCCCAUUGUCCAAUAUUCCCCACUGCUGCCUCCCGUAGGAGUAAGGGCCGUAUCUCAGUCCCCUUGUGGCCGUCCACCCUCUCAGGCCGGCUACCUAUCUUCGCCUUGGUGGGCCGUUACCCCUCCAACUAGCUAAUAGGACGCAAGGCUCUCCGCAGGCGUCUCCUUUCAUCACUAAGCUAUGCAGCUUAAUGACCUUAUCCGGUCUUGUCAGCAGUUUCCUGCUGUUAUCCCGGUCCCGCAGGUAAGUUCCUUACGCGUUACUCACCCGUCCGCCAUGGUUACCAUGGUGCAAGCACCACUUCCCCAUCGACUUGCAUGUGUUAAGCAUUCUGUCAGCGUUCAUCCUGAGCCAGGAUCAAACCCUC